AUACGGAGGGUGCAAGCGUUACUCGGAAUCACUGGGCGUAAAGCGCGCGCAGGCGGCUAUUUAAGUUGGAUGUGAAAGCCUACGGCUCAACCGUAGAACUGCAUCCAAAACUAUUUAGCUAGAGUGUGGGAGAGGAAGAUGGAAUUAGUUGUGUAGGGGUAAAAUCCGUAGAGAUAACUAGGAAUACCAAAAGCGAAGGCAAUCUUCUGGAACACUACUGACGCUGAGGCGCGAAAGCGUGGGGAGCAAACGGAAUUAGAAACCCUUGUAGUCC
RNAcentral lists this ribosomal RNA (274 nucleotides) under uncultured bacterium. RNAcentral describes it as "partial 16S ribosomal RNA". It matches the Rfam family "Bacterial small subunit ribosomal RNA", at positions 523 to 796 of the family's 1533-position model. The record is from RNAcentral.